Molecule: long non-coding RNA, 366 nt
Organism: Xenia sp. Carnegie-2017
Lineage: Eukaryota; Metazoa; Cnidaria; Anthozoa; Malacalcyonacea; Xeniidae
Exons: 3
Source: RefSeq, a predicted model, not a curated record
UUCAAAAAAACUUUGAAGUUUAACAUUCUUCGUUAAAUUUGCCUGUUCAAAAUAAAGAACGUCGGAAAAUUGAGUAUAACAUUCAUUAUAUUAUGAAGCCUACGGGUAAUCUUGUACAAGAUGAAAUGUUUCCUGAAGGAGUGGAUUCUAGUUUAAUGGAUAUGGAUGAGGCUUCUUCUUCCAAUAUGAAAGCAGAUAUAGCUGCAAGUGAAAGGGCUGUUCAUGGGGAUUUCUUCAAUGCAUUUGAUGACCUUUUUGACGAUGAUGAUUUGUCAUAAAGAUAAAAUAAAUAUAACAUAGAAAUUUUGAUGAAUAUGAAAAAACAAAAUGUAAACAACAGCAAUAAAUUUGAUGUAUUCUAACAAA